RNAcentral lists this ribosomal RNA (499 nucleotides) under uncultured Glomeromycotina. Its description in RNAcentral is "partial small subunit ribosomal RNA". It matches the Rfam family "Eukaryotic small subunit ribosomal RNA", at positions 591 to 1092 of the family's 1831-position model. Lineage: Eukaryota; Fungi; Glomeromycota. The record is from RNAcentral.
CCAAUAGCGUAUAUUAAAGUUGCUGCAGUUAAAAAGCUCGUAGUUGAAUUUCGGGACUAAUAUGUCGGUCGUGCCUCGGUACGUACUGGUAUUUUUGGUUUCUCCCUUCUGACGAACCUUGAUGUCAUUAAUUUGGUGUCUUGGGAAAUCAGGACUGUUACUUUGAAAAAAUUAGAGUGUUUAAAGCAGGCUCACGCUUGAAUACAUUAGCAUGGAAUAAUGAAAUAGGACGUUUGAUUCUAUUUUGUUGGUUUCUAGGAUCGACGUAAUGAUUAAUAGGGAUAGUUGGGGGCAUUAGUAUUCAAUUGUCAGAGGUGAAAUUCUUGGAUUUAUUGAAGACUAACUACUGCGAAAGCAUUUGCCAAGGAUGUUUUCAUUAAUCAAGAACGAAAGUUAGGGGAUCGGAGACGAUCAGAUACCGUCGUAGUCUUAACCAUAAACUAUGCCGACUAGGGAUCGGAUGAUGUUAAUUUUUUAAUGACUCAUUCGGCGCCUUACG